This 400-nucleotide long non-coding RNA is filed under the name Mytilus galloprovincialis (Mediterranean mussel). The record is from RNAcentral. Lineage: Eukaryota; Metazoa; Mollusca; Bivalvia; Mytilida; Mytilidae.
GAUUCGUCGAUUUGAUAUUUUGUUUGUUUACAUUUGUACAUAGUAAUAAUAAUUACAUAUGAUUUCAAAUACUUCCUGUAAACUUUCAGGACAUGUUGUAAGAACAUGUCUCACCAGUACCCAAUUCUUUUCAAUCUUUUCAAGUAGAACCGCUCAGCCUCAAAACAAAGUCACAAGUUUUUCCGUCAACAACAAAACUUUUGUUCGAAUCAAAACAAAAUACAAGACCAAGAUGACAGAUGAGUGGUUGAAGAUUGGGACCUAUUCAGUUUUUCCAUGGUCGAUUUCAGGAGUAGAAACGUGUGUUGUCAUUAAAACCAAUGGCCCCACACUCACAUUUGAUUUGGGAUAUUCAUGUAGAAGCAGUGUGUCCAGCAAUUUAGUCUUCUUCAGGUAUAGU